This 292-nucleotide long non-coding RNA is filed under the name Capsicum annuum. RNAcentral's name for it is "long non-coding RNA (CANN_LNC021491)". The record is from RNAcentral. Lineage: Eukaryota; Viridiplantae; Streptophyta; Magnoliopsida; Solanales; Solanaceae.
GUUUAUGUGAGUAUUAAGAACAUUUUUAAUUUGUUCAACUAAGGUAUUUUUCAAAGAUAUACCUUCUGCUAGGAGAUCAUGUAUGAUGACUUGCAACUCCUGUACUUGAGAGACAACAGAUUUACUAUCUAUCAUUUUGAAGUCCAGGAACCGUGCAACAAGGAAUUUCUUAAUUCCCGCAUCCUCCGUCUUAUAUUUUCGUUCAAGUGCCCCCCACAGUUCCUUUGAUGUCUUGGUUCCACUAUAAAUAUUGUAGAGGUCGUCUUGGAGACCACUCAGAAUAUAAUUUCUG